AAUUUUCAUUAAUUUGGUAAAUUUAUGUAAAUUUUUACCAAAUAUUUUUCUCUGUUACUAAUGGGCAAAGUUCAUUAUAGAUAUAAUUGUAAGAAGCAAGAAUGUUCAGUUGAGUAAGAACUUCAAACACAUCACCAUUACCAAAAUACAAUUUUGUCAUGAAUCCAUUUGUGUCCUUUGUUUAAUAUGCACAUAGACCAAGGUGAGCGACACAGGCUCUUUAGAGCCUCUAGUUUGAUGUCAUGUUUAGCGUUAAUUAUAUACAUGCAUGUUAAGGAUGAGACCACUGCUUUAUUGAGUUUUACUGAGAUAAUGGGGAAGAAAUUUGGAUUGCCAUAGGAAAAUGAGGGUAUGAUAUAUUGGGG
RNAcentral lists this long non-coding RNA (365 nucleotides) under Mytilus galloprovincialis (Mediterranean mussel). Lineage: Eukaryota; Metazoa; Mollusca; Bivalvia; Mytilida; Mytilidae. The record is from RNAcentral.